GAAGUGUUGUAAUUAGUUAAAAAAACCCUGCAAAUUAGGGUUGCUCCACAUUCAAGUCGGCGGAGAGUUUUAACGUUUACAUUGACCUUUUUGAAAAGUAAAUGUCGUACUUGCUCGUCCAGCUGCAGGCAAUGAAGGCAACAACUAAUGACAGGUAAUAGCUAGCUGGAAUGACUCUAACUGUACACACCUUUUGUGGGUCAGGUUUUUUUUUUUUUUUGUAGGCCUGUGAGGAUAUUGAAGACAUGUGCUGCACGUGGAGGAGGCCACGCCUGAAGUCGACGUGUGUUAAAAUGAGUUAUUUUGGUUUGUAAAAUGUACCUGAAAUAAUUGUUUUUUUUCUUACAUUUUGUGAUUUGUGCAAGUUGUUUUAGUUUGAUAUUAAGCUCAAAUAGUUAGUAGUUGUAUGCUAAGUUGUUGGAAGUGUUGCUCAGGUUGAUUUAAAAAGAAAUGGAUUGUGUUCACAGUGAUGUUGACUUGUAUUUUCUGUUGUGUUUUGAGAUUGUUUUAGUGGAUAAAUAGCAGGAGAAGAGCUGACUGAAUGGAGACUCCGCCACCCUGAAACACAUGGGGCUACCAUGCGGUGGAGCAUCUGUCAUGCUUCCAGCUGCAACAAAUCACCUCCAGCAUGUGGAGAAAGGCUGAUGGAUGGACAACCACAAACAUGAGAAAGUGAGUCCUUCAUGAGUGGUAAGGUUGACAAUAAUGCAUCUGAAAUAUAUAAGACUGUAUCUGUGAAAUUUUGCUUAAAAAAACCUGUCUGUUUUUUUUUUUGUUUUGUUUUGUUUUAUGGAUGAUUGUA
Labrus mixtus (cuckoo wrasse) is the source of this 802-nucleotide long non-coding RNA. RefSeq lists it as uncharacterized. NCBI's taxonomy places the organism in Eukaryota, Metazoa, Chordata, Actinopteri, Labriformes, Labridae. The transcript has 3 exons. The record is from RefSeq and is a predicted model, not a curated record.